Molecule: non-coding RNA, 251 nt
Filed under: Acetoanaerobium sticklandii
Lineage: Bacteria; Bacillati; Bacillota; Clostridia; Peptostreptococcales; Filifactoraceae
Description: Clostridium sticklandii T-box sequence
Rfam family: T-box leader
About the family: Uncharged tRNA acts as the effector for transcription antitermination of genes in the T-box leader family. T-boxes are found upstream of many aminoacyl-tRNA synthetase genes and some amino acid biosynthetic genes usually in Gram-positive bacteria.
Source: RNAcentral
ACAAGCACGUUGAUAAGGAAUAGUACGCUUUUGAAACAUUCCAGAGAGCUGUCGGGUGGUGUGAGACAGUAAUGGGGCAAAAGGGGAACUCGCCUUUGAGUGGUCCGCUGAACUUUUUUUCGUAGGCGGUACCGGCAGUCCACCGUUAUCAAGGACAGGAUAUUAUGCUUACGGCAAGUAUCUAUAUGAGUGCACUUCGCAUGAAGUGAACAAGAGUGGUACCGUGGAGGGCUUAGCCUUUCAUCUCUAUU